This 449-nucleotide ribosomal RNA is filed under the name uncultured bacterium. Its description in RNAcentral is "partial 16S ribosomal RNA". It matches the Rfam family "Bacterial small subunit ribosomal RNA", at positions 29 to 523 of the family's 1533-position model. The record is from RNAcentral.
AGCGAACGCUGGCGGCAGGCCUAACACAUGCAAGUCGGGCGCCGUAGCAAUACGGAGCGGCAGACGGGAGAGUAACACGUGGGAACGUACCCUUUGGUUCGGAACAACCCAGGGAAACUUGGGCUAAUACCGGAUAGGCCCUCACGGGGAAAGAUUUAUCGCCGAAGGAUCGGCCCGCGUCUGAUUAGCUAGUUGGUGGGGUAACGGCCCACCAAGGCGACGAUCAGUAGCUGGUCUGAGAGGAUGAUCAGCCUCACUGGGACUGAGACACGGCCCAGACUCCUACGGGAGGCAGCAGUGGGGAAUAUUGGACAAUGGGCGCAAGCCUGAUCCAGCCAUGCCGCGUGAGUGAUGAAGGCCUUAGGGUUGUAAAGCUCUUUCAGUAGGGAAGAUAAUGACGGUACCUACAGAAGAAGCCCCGGCUAACUUCGUGCCAGCCGCCGCGGUAA